This 478-nucleotide ribosomal RNA is filed under the name uncultured bacterium. RNAcentral describes it as "partial 16S ribosomal RNA". It matches the Rfam family "Bacterial small subunit ribosomal RNA", at positions 28 to 523 of the family's 1533-position model. The record is from RNAcentral.
GACGAACGCUGGCGGCGUGCUUAACACAUGCAAGUCGAACGGUAAGGUCCUUCGGGGUACACGAGUGGCGAACGGGUGAGUAACACGUGGGUGAUCUGCCCUGCACUUCGGGAUAAGCCUGGGAAACUGGGUCUAAUACCGGAUAGGACCCUGGGAUGCAUGUCCUGGGGUGGAAAGCUUUUGCGGUGUGGGAUGGGCCCGCGGCCUAUCAGCUAGUUGGUGAGGUAAUGGCUCACCAAGGCGACGACGGGUAGCCGGCCUGAGAGGGUGACCGGCCAAACUGGGAAUGGGACACGGCCCAGACUCCUCCGGGAGGCAGCAGUGGGGAAUAUUGCACCAUGGGCGAAAGCCUGAGGCAGGAGCGCCGCGCGAGGGAUGAAGGCCGUCGGGUUGUAAACCUCUUUCAGCUAUGACGAAGCGCAAGUGACGGUAGUAGCAGAAGAAGGACCGGCCAACUACGUGCCAGCCGCCGCGGUAA